RNAcentral lists this ribosomal RNA (254 nucleotides) under uncultured bacterium. RNAcentral's name for it is "partial 16S ribosomal RNA". It matches the Rfam family "Bacterial small subunit ribosomal RNA", at positions 524 to 776 of the family's 1533-position model. The record is from RNAcentral.
UACGAAGGGGGCGAGCGUUAUUCGGAAUCACUGGGCGUAAAGCGUGCGUAGGCCGUCUAGCAAGUUGGAAGUGAAAGCCCAGGGCUCAACCCUGGAAUUGCUUUCAAAACUGCAAGACUAGAAUCUCGGAGAGGAUAGCGGAAUUCCCAGUGUAGUAGUGAAAUACGUAGAUAUUGGGAGGAACACCAGUGGCGCAAGCGGCUAUCUGGACGAGUAUUGACGCUGAGGCACGAAAGCGUGGGGGAUCAAACAGG